RNAcentral lists this long non-coding RNA (223 nucleotides) under Mytilus galloprovincialis (Mediterranean mussel). Lineage: Eukaryota; Metazoa; Mollusca; Bivalvia; Mytilida; Mytilidae. The record is from RNAcentral.
UGGUGGUGCACUCCUUUUUUUGCUACGGCCCUUUGAAAAUGCCAAAUUUUGAUGAUUUUCCCAUUUUUCAUCUAUUUUUACCUAUUUUUGGGCUAUAAUCGUGAAAAAAAUCACAGUUUCACAAUUAAACUUUUUUUCAUACUUUCUAUAAAGAUUAAGUGGACCAAUCUGAAUAAAAUUUACUUAAAAAAAACUAUAGGUAGGUGUUAAUAUAAGAAAGUUU